UACGGAGGGGGCGAGCGUUGUUCGGAAUCAUUGGGCGUAAAGGGCGCGUAGGCGGCCCUUUAAGUCAAAGGUGAAAUCCCUCGGCUCAACUGAGGAACUGCCUUUGAAACUGUCGGGCUUGAGGCCGGGAGGGGGUAGCGGAAUUCCCAGUGUAGCGGUGAAAUGCGUAGAUAUUGGGAAGAACACCGGUGGCGAAGGCGGCUACCUGGACCGGUUCUGACGCUGAUGCGCGAAAGCGUGGGGAGCAAAAGGG
Molecule: ribosomal RNA, 253 nt
Filed under: uncultured bacterium
Lineage: Bacteria
Description: partial 16S ribosomal RNA
Rfam family: Bacterial small subunit ribosomal RNA
Source: RNAcentral